GUUCCUUGGAGAUGGUUUUACACAAAAAGCUUUCUACUUGCUGUAUAUCUCAUGAGUUCUAUAAAGUUGCUACGAACAACCCCAACAAGAUUGCAGUCAUUCAAGCUUGUGGGGGUCUCAAAAUCGCCAAAGAAUUUCGACUUUCUUGCAGUGAAAAUGGCGACCAAGACAACCGGGAGAAGUUUCAAGAGUUUGUUUCUUCUAAAAUGAAGUCGGUUAAUCCCCCGAUAUACGAAGGUGAUCAGUGCUUCACGUUUUCCGAGAUAUUGUCCGCCGUUGAUUCUCUUAGUUCACGGCUCCGAUGCAUUCUUGAUGGUGGUGAUGACCCCAAUCUAAUAAAUUCCUCUGCAGUUAAUAUUCAUCAAACUGCAAACGACUGCAGUUCCAAGGACCAGUUACUUCUGGGGUCUUCUGAUCGAGGUUUGGAGCAGUAUACACAGUU
This 442-nucleotide unclassified non-coding RNA is filed under the name Hevea brasiliensis (rubber tree). The record is from RNAcentral. Lineage: Eukaryota; Viridiplantae; Streptophyta; Magnoliopsida; Malpighiales; Euphorbiaceae.